GACGAACGCUGGCGGCGUGCUUAACACAUGCAAGUCGAACGGAAAGGCCCCCAUCUUGGUGGGGGUGCUCGAGUGGCGAACGGGUGAGUAACACGUGGGUGAUCUGCCCUGUACUUCGGGAUAAGCUUGGGAAACUGGGUCUAAUACCGGAUAGGACCAUGGUUUAGUGUCUCAUGGUGGAAAGAUUAUUGUUUUGGUGCAGGAUGAGCUCGCGGCCUAUCAGCUUGUUGGUGGGGUAAUGGCCUACCAAGGCGUCGACGGGUAGCCGGCCUGAGAGGGUGGACGGCCACAUUGGGACUGAGAUACGGCCCAGACUCCUACGGGAGGCAGCAGUGGGGAAUAUUGCACAAUGGGCGCAAGCCUGAUGCAGCGACGCCGCAUGGGGGAUGACGGCCUUCGGGUUGUAAACUCCUUUCGUUAGGGACGAAGCCACGCUUGUUGGGUGUGGUGACGGUACCUUUGUGAAGAAGCACCGGCUAACUACGUG
Molecule: ribosomal RNA, 487 nt
Filed under: uncultured bacterium
Lineage: Bacteria
Description: partial 16S ribosomal RNA
Rfam family: Bacterial small subunit ribosomal RNA
Source: RNAcentral